GAUGAACGCUGGCGGUGUGCCUAAUACAUGCAAGUCGAGCGAACAGACGAGGAGCUUACUCCUCUGACGUUAGCGGCGGACGGGUGAGUAACACGUGGAUAACCUACCUAUAAGACUGGGAUAACUUCGGGAAGCCGGAGCUAAUACCGGAUAACAUGUUGAACCGCAUGGUUCAACAGUGAAAGACGGUCUUGCUGUCACUUAUAGAUGGAUCCGCGUCGCAUUAGCUAGUUGGUAAGGUAACGGCUUACCAAGGCAACGAUGCGUAGCCGACCUGAGAGGGUGAUCGGCCACACUGGAACUGAGACACGGUCCAGACUCCUACGGGAGGCAGCAGUAGGGAAUCUUCCGCAAUGGGCGAAAGCCUGACGGAGCAACGCCGCGUGAGUGAAGAAGGUCUUCGGAUCGUAAAACUCUGUUAUUAGGGAAGAACAAAUGUGUAAGUAACUAUGCACGUCUUGACGGUACCUAAUCAGAAAGCCACGGCUAACUACGUG
RNAcentral lists this ribosomal RNA (497 nucleotides) under uncultured bacterium. RNAcentral's name for it is "partial 16S ribosomal RNA". It matches the Rfam family "Bacterial small subunit ribosomal RNA", at positions 28 to 507 of the family's 1533-position model. The record is from RNAcentral.